AUUGAACGCUGGCGGCAUGCCUUACACAUGCAAGUCGAACGGCAGCGGGCCCUCGGGUGCCGGCGAGUGGCGAACGGGUGAGUAAUGCAUCGGAACGUGCCAUUGAGUGGGGGAUAACGUAGCGAAAGUUGCGCUAAUACCGCAUAUUCUGUGAGCAGGAAAGCAGGGGGACCGCAAGGCCUUGCGCUCUUUGAGCGGCCGAUAUCAGAUUAGCUAGUUGGUGAGGUAAAGGCUUACCAAGGCGACGAUCUGUAGCGGGUCUGAGAGGAUGAUCCGCCACACUGGAACUGAGACACGGUCCAGACUCCUACGGGAGGCAGCAGUGGGGAAUUUUGGACAAUGGGGGCAACCCUGAUCCAGCCAUGCCGCGUGAGUGAAGAAGGCCUCGGGUUGUAAG
RNAcentral lists this ribosomal RNA (397 nucleotides) under uncultured bacterium. RNAcentral's name for it is "bacterial SSU rRNA". It matches the Rfam family "Bacterial small subunit ribosomal RNA", at positions 30 to 429 of the family's 1533-position model. The record is from RNAcentral.